UAACCUCUAGCGAGAAUCGUGAAUGUUG
RNAcentral lists this non-coding RNA (28 nucleotides) under unclassified sequences. RNAcentral describes it as "L19-Flavobacteria ribosomal protein leader". It matches the Rfam family "L19-Flavobacteria ribosomal protein leader". The record is from RNAcentral.